UGGCAGUUUGGCCGAGUGGUCUAAGGUAUGGGAUUGUCUUAAUUUAUUGUUACUGGAUCAGACUAACAAAUCCACAGGCGCCGGGUUUAAGAGAAUUCCGAAUUACUGAAUUCCGGUCUACGAAAGUGGGCGUGGGUUCGAACCCCACAGCUGCCAAC
This is a non-coding RNA of Penicillium egyptiacum, 158 nucleotides long. NCBI's taxonomy places the organism in Eukaryota, Fungi, Ascomycota, Eurotiomycetes, Eurotiales, Aspergillaceae. The record is from the annotation of a GenBank genome assembly.